CUGGGGAGUACGGUCGCAAGAUUAAAACUCAAAGGAAUUGACGGGGACCCGCACAAGCGGUGGAUGAUGUGGAUUAAUUCGAUGCAACGCGAAAAACCUUACCUACCCUUGACAUGUCCGGAAUCCUGCAGAGAUGCGGGAGUGCUCGAAAGAGAACCGGAACACAGGUGCUGCAUGGCUGUCGUCAGCUCGUGUCGUGAGAUGUUGGGUUAAGUCCCGCAACGAGCGCAACCCUUAUCAUUAGUUGCUACGCAAGGGCACUCUAAUGAGACUGCCGGUGACAAACCGGAGGAAGGUGGGGAUGACGUCAAGUCCUCAUGGCCCUUAUGGGUAGGGCUUCACACGUCAUACAAUGGUCGGUACAGAGGGUUGCCAAGCCGCGAGGUGGAGCCAAUCCCAGAAAGCCGAUCGUAGUCCGGAUUGUUCUCUGCAACUCGAGAGCAUGAAGUCGGAAUCGCUAGUAAUCGCGGAUCAGCAUGUCGCGGUGAAUACGUUCCCGGGUCUUGUACACACCGCCCAUCACACCAUGGGAGUGGAAUCUGGCAGAAGUAGGUAGCCUAACCGCAAGGAGGGCGCUUACCACGCUGGGUUUCAUGACUGGGGUGAAGU
RNAcentral lists this ribosomal RNA (609 nucleotides) under uncultured bacterium. Its description in RNAcentral is "bacterial SSU rRNA". It matches the Rfam family "Bacterial small subunit ribosomal RNA", at positions 873 to 1486 of the family's 1533-position model. The record is from RNAcentral.